ACCAAUAAUCCAAUAUUUAAUCAAAAUAGGCAAAAUUACCCGAGAGCCAUAAAUACGCUCAUCAUUGCCUAACUUCGAUAAUCUUAAAUCGGAACGAUCCGAACUUAAAUAUCAUACUCAACAGUCGUAAAUACCACCUCCUCAAAAUACGACUUAAAUCCUACGGCCGGAUUCUACAUUAAUUAACCGCCAAAAAUACCAAACUUCGGAAAUUCACAAACCUAUCCAAAUCUCAUCCAAAAAUUCCAAAAUUCACCUCAAUAAUAUCCUCUUAAUAUUCUACAUCAAAAACCACAAAAUUUCCCAAAACAGCGGCGGCCGGCGACCAACUCCGGCGACCUGCAAAUGCUACCAAAUUUUAACAGAAUCUUCCUCUCAAUCUCCUCUACAACUUUCAUGACCAACACAUCACCUAAUUCCAAGCCUAACUAGGCUAAUCGAACGAAAACAACUUAAAAGCCCUAGAAAUUUCAACUCCACAUUUCUCCUUACCUAGCUCAAGAGGGAGGGAGCUGCUUGGAGGGGUUGCUGCACGGGAGGAGGGCUACAAAACCGUACCAAGCUUGCCCGGAUUGGUGGCCGGAGGAGGGAGUUCCGGCGACCGGAAGUUCGGGGCAGCCUAUCCUUUCGGGCGGCACCGCUCUCUCACGGCGGCGCUAGGGGGGCUGCUACCGGUCCUAGAAGAUAGCUGGGUCAGAGACCGAUCGAUUGGGACCGGUGCGGCGGUCUGGGGCGGCCGGACGGCGGCGGUCUGGCGGUCAGAAUUCCGAACGGCGGGAGGGCUCGGGGGAGAGAGAACCGGGAGGAGAAAAGAGGAGAAAAAGAGAAAAGAGAAAUGGGCCUCUACACCCGGCCCAACAACACUAAUAUACCCAACUCCUACAAAUAAAACACCCCGAAAAAUAAUACCCGAAUAAAAUUACCUUUUACUAGCUAAAUUUACUAUUUUACCGUCGUCAUAUUUUCCUCAUACGAAUAAUCCUCCGCACAUAAUCGUCCCCGAAACCACUCUAGGGACCAAUUAAACUAUUAACUCAAUGAUCGAGACGGUAAAAUUCUUAUUAUAAUCACGCUAGUAAAUAAGGUAAAAAUAUAAGGGUCGGGAUGUGACACACUCUAACUGUUCCACAUGUUUUCCCCUGCGCUCUUCGUUUUAAAUUGCCCAGUCUGCAGAGUUCAGGUUGGACCUAGUAGGAGACGAGGCAUAGUUACCCGCUUUUCCGCCAGUUUUCAUCAGUAGGUUACCUGUUUAACCUACUAGUGUUUUCUUGCUUCCGUUAGUGUCUAAUAGGUCUGAAUACUUUGGGAUUAUUGUAUAUUAUUUCGGUGGUGUGCUCGGUCGGUUGACUUUAUGUUUAGAAUUUCUGAAGGAUAAUAUUUGCUUUUAUUUAGCUGGAUAAUUGUGUGUUAUAUUUUUUGGACGUGCUGUAGUAAGAGUGUGAAUUGGAAAUUUUUCGGGUUAGGGUUGUCCAUUUCCAAGGGAGGUUUUACCAAUCUUUUCGGUAAAUUUUCCUUCGAGGUGGUCCCCGCACGACUUACUCCGGAUUUCAGGGUGAAAUUCGGGGUGGGUCGUGUCAGUUAUUGAGAUAAAUAUUACAUCUUUCACAAAGUUUACAAACAGACCGAUUCAAAGAGGUGAUGAGAUCACGCAGAUCACUUGAAGAUCGGCGAACGGGGUCUGGUUUCCGAAUAUAUAGGAGAGGAUGCAAAAGAUGUCGUCGUCUUCAAGUAGCUUCUUGGCUUGAAAUUGAGCUCAAGUGAGAUGUCAGCAAGGCAUUUUUGCAUUCGUUUGGAAAACUCAUAGUGAGACUUUCCUGGCUCUGAGUCGACGUGAAGCAAGUUGACGAUCUCAUAUACCAAUUUGCCGCCGCCGAUUAUUGGGAAGAACAAAAUUAUUGAGGUUGGGAUUGGGAUUGGGUUAGGACUUAGGCUUAGGGUUGGGAUUAUUCGAGAUUUGUAAUUUUGGUUAGGAUGGAGAGGUGGAAUGGGCAUAGAUUAUUGAGAUUAGAGGAAUGCGAGUUGAGUUGAGCUUUUGGGAGAAGACAAUUACACUAACAUUAAACAAUUAUUAAUUAUAUCUCAAGGAAAAAUUCACGGUUUAUAUUUUGUUGUAGAUUUGAGAUGGUUAGGUGUCUUGUUUCUAUUGGGUUUAGGUUUGUAACUGUGGGAGUUAGAGGCGACCACGUCUCGGAGAAAAUGGAGAAUUACCCUUAUAUAGCACUGGUGUCGAGCCUUCGGGGCGAGAAUGGAUUUUAACACACGGGACCGGGCCCGGCCCGCGUAGUAGUGGGACCCGCCCAGACAGAAAAUUUCAUAUAACAAAUUCGGCAAAAAGCCCAGCCCGGCCGGUUCAGGUCGAUUUGCAAGUUUUUUUUCUUGCUACGGGCUUUAUGCCCAGCCCUAGAAGUACGCAGACUCUACUUGAAAUUCAUGAUCCCUGAAUGUAGGAAGAGUUUGUCCAUCUCUCCCCACUGGUUCAAACUAAAUAGGUUCUCUAGUAUCCAAUGCACAGGUUGAUCGUAGAUAGUUGUCAUGGAUGGAUUCAUUAAAUCAUCUUUUUCAUGCUCCACAAAUUUUUCCACGACAAAUUCAUCAUGCACAAUCAUGUUAUGAAGAAUGAUUCAACUGAUCAUGAUGGCUCAAAGAUCUUCUAGUUUAAACAACCUACCACCGUGACGCAAUAUUACCCAUUGAGAUUGGAUGAUACCAAAGUACCGCUCCACAUCUAUGUGGUAAGCCUCUUGUUUUUUGCAAAAGUGUUUCUCCUCUUCUGUUCUGGGGUUCGACAUUGUUUUCACAAAAGUAAACCACCUAGGGUAAAUUCUAUCAGCAAGGUAGUAACCAUUGGUGUACCUUUUGUUAUUGACCUCAAAUUGAACCUGAGGAGCAGUUCCACCAAUGACACGCUCAAACACAUUAGACACACCAAGAACAUUGAGGUCAUUUUGUGCUCCAGGGGUUCUGAAAAAAGCGUGCCAUAUAUGUGUGUCGUAAGACGCCACUGCUUCUAGAAUUAUAGUUAGUCUUCCCUUCCGACCCAAGAAAGCUCUAGCCUAACUGAUUGGGUUGUUCUUCCAUUCUCAAUACAUGCAAUCUAUGCUCUCAAUCAUGCUUGAAAACCCGCGGCGAUGUCCUCUAUUGUGAAGCCUAUAUAAGUCAGCUGAAUUGGGAGGACGAAAGAACCACUCACCGUAGAGAAACUCGAUCUAUCUGCAAAAUUUCUUCAGACAUUUCAGCGUUGUAGAAGUUCACAUCCUAAUGAUUUCAUCACAUUGAUCAGCAACUGCACCGUACAUGAGCAUUCUCAAGGCACCUGUCAUAUUUUGUCCAUGAAGCAAUCCCAUUUUUCCAAUGACAUCUGUUUUUUGCCUCCAAAAACUGUCGUGGUUGCAAAGAUCCUCCAUUAUACAUUGGAAGACAUUUAUGCAUUUGGUGCUGCAUCCGAAAGCUUGCUUCGUUGUACACUAGAUGUUCAACAAAAUAAUCCUGAAGGAGGAAAUGACCUCGGACUUCUAUGUGUCUCUCCACAUUUGGUGCAUGGACAGGUCGUGAACCACGCCCUUUAGGUGUCUAUUCUAGUUGAUAUUGUGCCACCAUUGCAACUGCUUGAGAGUUUGUAGCUUGAAUCCUCUCCGGAUCUUCCAUAUUUUCACGUUCUCUUUCUUGCAACCACCGGUUUAAUUCAUUCAGGAAAGGAGGAGAAUGAGAUGGGUAAUGAUAUUUUUAAAGAGAUGGAGGUAUAUAAUGAGAGGAGUGAGUAGAGAUUGAAGUCUAAAGGUUAUUUAUUAACAUUCUUGAAGAUAAAAAGUUUCGGAUAAGUACACAUGUCAGGUAAAGAUUGUUUGAGAAUCUUAUCAAAAAUCUGAAAUAUAUUUUUAGAAGAUAGGGGUGUCUAAAGUUGACAUUUUAAAUAUCGCCUUGAAAAUGAUAAGAUAUUUUGUAAUUUAUAAAAAAAUAAAUUGAUAUUUAAAAAAAACAAUUAAUGUUGUACGAUCAAUCUCAUUAUUAAUUAACCAAAUUAUAAGUUUAACAUUUUCAAUUAAUGCAUUAUUCAAAUAUAAAAUGUGAAUAUUAGAUUAUAGCAGACAAACUACCUUUAACUGGUGCAUUGACAAAGGAUAGGCAAUUGUCAAUUUCAGAUUAAUAGUGAAUUAGCAUGAGCAAUUCAAUUGGCAAAUAAGCAAUUGCAUUGAAUUCCCCUUAUCUAACAGGUGCAAAUGCUCUUAUAGUAAACUAAAAAUCAAGUACCAUUGCUUGCUCCCCAUGCUUAGGCAGAGUAACAUGAUAUUUGUCCCAUCCUUGCUCUUGGUAUUAGGGCUUGUCAUUGUACCAACAACAACAACAACAAAGAAGUAAGUGAUGCACAUUGGAUCUCUCUUCUUCUUUUGGAGAUCCUUGUUCUUACUCCCCAAAUGCCUACUAAGUUUCUGCUUCAAAGAUUUAAUGGGCUCCUGGGUCAUCUUCUAGCCCAGCUACAUCAAGCCCAUCUGAAACUACACCAUCACCCCAGGCCCAACUUUCGCAUUCAACCCAAUAAUAGGUUAGUCUAACUAGAUUUUUCAACAUCAAACUAUAAAAAGAAAUAAACUUUUGUUGGCAAUUAUAUUAUAAAAUUGUGUAGGAUCAAAAUUUUUUUGUUUGUUUCUUUUUUCAGAUUUUCAGAAUUACUAUCCUUAUGCAUGAAGAUAAUCAAUUUGGUCAUUGUGGUCGGACUCUAUUAUGGAUUUCUGACCACAUUCUCCAUAGGGCCCUCUUAUCUUUUCCUUCUCUAAGCUUAGGUUAUGAAAGAAGGAGAAGAAGGAACCGAGAAGAAAGUAUCAGCAACAACCGAUUUUAUUACAGGACACCUAAUGAUAAGGUUUCCGCCGAUGUACAUGAACUCCAUGCUGCCAUUCACCACCUCCAACACAAGCUGGUCUGACUAAGCUAGCCUCGAAACCUCUUGCACCAACGCCAAUAUCGUAUCGGAUCUCAAUGUGCUUUCAUAGGAACCUCGGUCUUCGAACCACGACUCGGUUCUAGACCUUGCAGCCCUUCCAAUUCCGUCUCCAACUUAUGUUCACAAACUCCACCACCAUGGCCAAAAAAAAUCGUAAGAUGGACAUAACCCAUGACAAUUCUCAUAGUGGAACUCCAUCAUGACUGACAGAUCCCGAGAAAAUUCAAGCCUCUGCCACAUCUAACACCGUUGGCGCCUCACCCUGAUUCUUUGAACCGAAUCAUUGUGUUGCAUCACCACCAGAUCAACCUGCACAAAUUCUCCUAGGACCCAUCCAAUAGCGUUACUUAAAGUACUACAUUAAUUCAUAGUUUCUAAAAUGAUUGUCCGGUUAUUUACACUAAAUCUUCUAAACACAAAAAAAGAUCAAAUCUUAUUAAAAUCAAAAUGAAAGUUCGACCAAACUGGAUAUGUGGGUUGAAGAUUGCAAGUUUGUAGGAAUGAUUUAAGAUAUAUUGAAGGAGAAAUCACUUCUUCCUCUAGUCUUUCUUAGAAAUGAUCAUAGCACAUUGAUUUGUAGAGCUCAUUCCUCUAGUACUAGUGUACAUUAGUACAACUGCACUAGGGAAAUGGAUUCAGAUGCUUAUCAUGCUCUCUUUUUACCAAGCGAGUAGAUGCCCAACGUCGGACCCAAAAAAAAAAGAUGCCCAACGACCUGUCGUUCUGCAAUCACACUGUGACCUAUCAAAAUUUAAUUUUUUUUUUUUUUUUAANNNNNNNNNNNNNNNNNNNNUUUUUUUUUUUUUUUUUAAAUGGAAACACGAGGCCAAAUGAAGCGGUUAACAAGUAUGUGAUUCGCUAUCACGAUCUUUCAGCUCAAAAUCCAAGUAGUUUGUCAAAAUUACCCAACACAAUCGCAAGUCUAACGUUCAUAUUGUAGACUAGAGAAUCCAAUUUACGAAGAACCCACAAAGCAAUUUGCUCCCAACUGUUUGAACAACCCUAAAGUCGGAUGAAGAGGAUAGAAGCAGAAAACUGGGUUUGUCAAGUUCCAUUCUUUUUAUACUUUCUGGGUUCUGUUUUAUAGAAAGGUUUUGUCUUUGUUCUGACAUGGGUUUUCUUGUUUCUCUGUUUUUGAAGUGUAUGUGUAUCCCAAGGUGAAGGUCAGGCAGCAACAAAAGAAAAGAUGAUCAACAUGCUCUUCUUGAUUUUGAUUCUCCAGGUUUCUUUUUUGAGAAAAGUACAAUUAAAUGUAUGAUUUGCGGCUCUUCUAGUUCUCUUUCAGUCCUGGUUACAUGUUUUGAUAAUUGACAUACUAGAACUGGGGAUCACAGAUUGACAACUUUGAAAAUCUGCUUGCUCGGUCUCAUUAACAUGUUUGAAUUCAUUUGUAACACAUAAGAUACUUGGUGUUGAACAUUUCUUUGUAGAUGAUAAGUCGAAGCAUGUGCAAAGUAAACUUUUUUUUUUUUUUUCUAUUUCAUUCGAUUUAGUGAUACCGUGGAGAGGAACAAAGAAUUUCGAUUUAUGAUCUUUUAGAUAUCAGGACUGACUUGCAAUAGCCCAAAAAUGGUCCAUACUUCUAGUCUUCAGAGGGGAUCAGACUUAUCAAUUGAUCAGUUUUGACUUGCUUAUCACUUCCAAAUUUUUGGAAGUGGUAAAUAGGAUUUGUAUACCAACAUUAAUACCCUAGGGAAAUCCUCCCUAGUCCUCAUGACCUUGAUCUUUGUAGUUGAAACUCGGGCCUGUUUGUGAUACUUACAUACUGAGGUAUUAUAUCUGCUUGACUGCUUCUUCUCAUCAUUCUGAACUCAUAAUACAGAAGCUUUAGUGCAAACCUUUGUUCUGAUCUAUAUGCCCAGGACAUAAUAAGCAUCACAUUUCAUGUCUUUGAUUCUAGGGUUAGUUAGGGUGUGUCUAACUGUGUAUGAUUGAUUUACGCCUCUGAUGCUAUGACCGUAGGUUUGAUACUAGUCCAAAAACAUAUGAUGGAAAAUUUCUUAAAAUACUGCCUCACUAGAUAAGGAUUUCUUCUUUCUGCAUUAUUCAUUAGAAUCUAUAAUGCAAUAACAAUCAUCUUAUUCAUUGAAGUUUCUUAUAUUCCCAAGUUCAGAGGUGUCAUCAGAUUGAUCUAACAGGGUUUGACAAUUCUAUUUCGCUAUAGUGAAGGAUCAAGAUGUUUCUACAGCUAUAGUUGCAAGAGUUCCAAAAUAUUAUGCGCCAAGAGUGGGCCUUUGAUCUCUGUUGCUGAUGGUAUAGUUCUAGUGUCAACUGUGUCUAUCUUGUUAGGGAGAAAAGAAAAAUUCUACCAUAGAACCUUAUGAGAAAACUUCAAACAAGAUACCAAAUAAUAUAGUUCUAAAUCCCUGCUGUAACUGAAAUACUAUAAAUGACUUUUAUUUUCGAAGACUAAGAUAGAUGUGAUCAUAUUCCCUUUAUAACCUCAGAAUACCCAAAAUACUUAGUACUAGAAAAUCGAUCAUGUAUCACUUAACAAGAUAUGUCAUGCAAUCAGGCUUUAGGAAUUACAAUAGUCCAGUGAUUAUUGUUCUGAUAUAGACUCUUGAAAACCUGAUAUGGACUGCUUUAAGAACUACUAGAUUUUUUUUUUUUUUUAAUUAAAGUAAGAACUAGUACCUUUUAAUGAACAGAAACUUUACAGGAACUGCAAAAAUUGGAUAGCAGACGAUGGGAUAUGGUUGAGUGUUGACUAAUACACUGUGCAUGAUACACUAGUAGAAUUAUUGCAUACUAGUCGAACUGCACUAUUUAAGACCAUGUUUCUUACCAUAGGAUAACCAAGCUCCAGUAGACUUACCAGAGAGGUCUGUCUAAUUUCAAACGAGCACAUGUGAUGCAGAUGUAAUUCUAUUUGGUCAAACCCUUGUGAUUAUGUUUAUUGAUAGAUUGGAAAAAUUUCCAUAAACAUUCUAUAAUGUACUGGAAAUAGCAUCAUUACCUAGUUUAUAUGCAUGUUUGAGCAACUUUUGUCUAUCUGUACAAAUGAUGGACUUUCACUAUCUAUAUGUUUUCAGAUAAUGAUAUGGUGAUUGGAAACAAAAUUAGGAUCAAAGCACAACGACCAUUGGCUCUGAAGAAUCAUAGCUUGGUUCACAAUAGAAGUAGACAAUGUGUUCCACAUUCACAUUACUGAAAGUUCCAUAAAACCAAAAAGUUCCAAGGGGACUUCAGUUGAGAGCUGUCCCAAGGAAAGGAAAGGACCAGCAUCAAAACUAACAAGUCAGAUUCGGCCACCAAGAACAGGGAAACCGAGCUCUAAGGUAAAGUGAGUAUUUGGUUUAUAGUUUACAUUAUAUGUGUGUCAUUACUUAAGUAACUUACACUGAUUAGAGCGUAUCUACAUAGCUGUGUGACAAAUCUCAUGUCUGGUUUCUGUAGUAGCCAUUAGUUCAGUGCUUACAGUUGUGUGAACUAUACUGAUAUUAAUUGGAUCCGCCUUUUCUGAUGCAAUAGCUUGUGCUUUGUUUAUGGGAAAGACGUUUCACAUUAGGAUAAAAGUCUUGAUAUUUUUGUAUUUUGUAUGUUUCAACGAUGGUAUUCUCAACUCUCUCACCUAGCAAAGCACUAGGUCUAGAGAUCCCUCUUCGUCUUCUCCUCCCUCACAUAAGCUCUCCACUUGGUCUCUGCCUCGGCCAUCCCUCCUUGCUUCUCACUUUCCAUGGAAAACUAUCCAAACGUUUCUCUUUCCAUGAGUUGCUUCCGUUUCCAGAAUUUACUGCUGCUACAUAUACAUUCCACUUUGGUCAUAUUCAUAUUCCAUACUAGGCAAAGACUACAAAUUUGACUACAAUGAGCUAUAUAGCAAGGUACAUAAGUGAAGGCCCUCUUCGUUUUCUUUAUUGUCAUCACUGUUUAUUCCACUGCCAGAAUCAACUUAAGCUAGGGUUCUCGAAUUAGAACCCAUGGUGAUAGACCUCUCCUGCAAUUUAACUACCCAAAACCAUACUAGAAAACCCAUCACGAUCAUGAAUUUCCAUACUUUCCGUGGGUUUCUGAACAAGUUUCCACAGUGACACCUCCCUUUGUCUACACCUGAAAUAAGAACGUACAGAGAAAAUAUCUCUAGGAUUAUAUAGGUAGGAGAGUAUUCAUCCUAUACAUUUUAUUUUCCACCCUAGCUUUGGCUCACAGUUUUUUUUUUCCUACAAGUAUAAGCAAACAAUCUGUACUUUCCAGUUCUUUCAUUAGUACAUGGAAUAAAUUCGAGGUUAUGCAUGCAUAAAUGCAGUGCAUCUGGUGCUGUCUGCGCACUAAAACAGAAGACUUGGGGAUUUGCCUAAGAUCUGCUAAAUAAGAUCAAAGCCAUCUCCAUCAAAUUGCAGAAGAAAAAUUAAAACAUCAUUAGUCUUGAAUUUUGAUCUUCAGGCAACGAAUUUUCAUCUUAAAUAAUAUCAAAGAUGACUGUUAUCCAAAUAUCUCUGAUGAGGAAGCUGAAUACUAUGGUGAUGCACUAAUGUUCCAAAGUAACUCUUAUAUCCAUUCAAUGAAGCAACAAAACCAGCAACAUAAGACUGACCUAGCCAACAAUAAAAAAAAAUAUUUAGUUAGGAUAUUUCUAGCUGGAAUUUGAGAACUUAAGAUGUUGAAUUUUAAGCACAUAGGAUAUUGCAAUUCUGGAUAUGAUGUUCUUUUCUUAUGAUGUUCUUUCCAGCUCCACGGCGCCUCUACCUAUAUCUCAUCCUAUAUUUUUCCUUCUCAUUAUUCAAUGUGUCAACAAACCAGGACCUCCAAGACAUGCGGUCUUCUUCUCCAAUCCAAUAUCUAUACAGCUGAUUAACACACUUUACCAAGCUUGUGCCAUACUCCUCACCCAGCUUUUGCUUUCACAACUCAUCAUCACAUUCAUCAUUAGGCAGAUUUUGCAGCUCCUUAAAAACGCACGACACUCUAGCAACAUCCUCAACUUGCAGGCACUUUAAAAUCUUGCUAGAAGAUCCGGAGGAAGCUCCAAAAGACGGCACGGUGGAGCACGCAAACGGGUGAGUGUGACUGCACAAUAAAGAUCUACCAGUAACGGCAAUGCUAUCUCAUUCUUCACAACAUUCCAAAUCUCAUUAACUUGUCUCUCAAGUAAUCCCUCAGUUACAUGAUAAUGAUAAACUCUAUUGUCUCCCCAAACAAAAUCGAUUAGGGCAGGCACAUACUUCUUCUCAUCCAACUCUACAGGGCAACCGCCACGGUAGGCCUCAACGAAUGGGCUGAAACAGUGAUACACCAGUACAAUGCCCUUCUUUCUUUAACCUUACCACCAUUCUGUAGAAUCUGAGGAAAAGUAUAGAAACCCGAUUCGCCUCAAACUGAAGCUGGGUUUAACGGCACGACACCGGAAUCUAAGAGGGUCAUAUGUACCACUUGUCUCAAUACCUUGAGCUUAUCAAUCAGCUUCUCUCUUAAGUAUACUCUUGUUCCACACCAACACAUCAGAAGAUUCAGAACCAAUACCAUCGAUUCCACACUUUUCAUGAGGCUCCAAUACAAAGGUGAUAGAUCUUUCUUCUUGCCAACUAACCAAUAGGUCACAGCCACCAGCAAAAUGCCAUGUUUUUUGACAACAAAUUUAUCUAUACACGAAUUCUUUAUUAAAGAUGAGUUGUACACUAAUCUCUAAACUUGGGGUAAACUUAAUUAUGUUAAAACACUCACAGAUAAGAGAUGGAAUUCUUAUUCAUGCUGGAGUACUUUAAAGUGUUGCAGUGUAGCAUCUUGUGCUCAAACCGGGAGGUAUGGUGGGGUUCGUUUAUCAUACUAUAUGGUAUGACAUACCUAUUGUAAAUGUGUCUAAUUGUAUGGCACAUAGGGUAAACUUAAUUAUGUUAAAAUAAGAGAUGGAAUCCUUAUUCAUGAUGGAGUACUAGUGUUGCAGUGUAGCAUCUGGUGCUCAAACUGGGAGGUAUGGUGGGGUUUGUCUAUCAUACCAUAUAGUAUGACAUACCUAUUACAAAAGUGUUUAAUUGUAUGACACAUGUGGGUUUCUAAAGAGGUAAAUGGUCAUUUAGUUAUUUCUUCAAUCAAUAAUAGCUACAUAUUUUGUGAGGCAUGCUAUAUCAUAUAAUAUAUUAAAAUUUUCCGGGUACGGUGAAGGUGAUGUGUGACUCGCAGGCUCAACGACAUGUCGUUCCGCAACCACAUUGACCUAUCAAAUUUGAAAUUUCGAAAUGGCAACACGGGGCCAAGUGAAGCGUUGACAACUCCACUACGUGAUUGUCUGUCAGCUGAAAACGUGCUCAAUUGCGUCUCAGAAUCCAAGUCCUUUGUCAAAAUGACUCGACACACUCACAAGUCUACUUCAGGGGCUUUUGACAUUGUCUAUGAUAUUCAUUCGUCCUUCCACCUUCAUCAUAUUGUAGACUAGAGAAUCCAACAGAACCCACAAAGCAAUUUGCUCCCAACUUUUUGAACAACCAAAAAUUCAGAGGCUUCAACAACUGAAGAAGCUCUCAGAGAGAGGAAGAGGACAAAAGCACAAAAGUGGGUUUGUCAAGUUCCAUUCUUUGUGUACUUUCUGGGUUCUGUUUUCUUAAUAGUUUUUGGUUUUGUUCUGAAAUGGGUUUUCUUGUUUCUCUGUUUUCAAGUGUAUGUUUAUCCCAAGGUGAAGGUCAGGCAGCAACAAGAAGAGAAAGAUGAUCAACAUGCCCUUCUUGAUUUUGAUUCUCCAGGUUAGUUUUUUUGAGAAAAAAGUAGAAUUAAUUAGUAAAUUUCUGCUCAUCUAAAGCUUUAGUUUAAACCUGGUUUAGUAAUAGAUAUAGUAGAACUGGGAAGCACAGAUUGACAAUUCUGAGAGUCUGCUCGCUCUGUCUCAUUAAUCAGCAUGCUUGACUUUAGUUUCUACACAUAGAUAUACUUGGUAUUGAGCUUAUAUUUGUAGAUGAUAAGCUGAGGCAAGUGUAACAAACUUCUAUUUGAUUUCAUUCCUUUUAGUGAGACAGAGGAAUGAACAAGAAUUGAAAUUUAUAAUCUUUUUACUUAUCAGGACUGGCCUGCAAUAGCACAAAAAUGGUCUAUACUUCUGGUCUUCAGAGGGGAUCAGACUUAAGAAAAGAUUUUGAAUUGCACAUCACUUCCAAAUUCAGUGAUGCUUUCUUCAUUUAUCUCACAACACAACUAAUAUAUAGGUGAAACAGACACAACAUUAAUAUUAAAAACAUCUAUGAGAAACACCAUACAUCAAAAUUAUCAUAAAACGUACGUAAACAUAAAACAAUAGAUGAACAAACUAAAGACACAUCAAAACUACAUUUCUUAGACUCUUAUUAUGUCUCAUCUACUUGAACAAUUACUCCUUUGCUCAAUAGCUUAACGCCAUCUUGUGUUCAAAUCAAGUGGGCUAAAAGAAUCGCUAUGCCCACUCUUUGGAGGUGGACGCUUCGGGCCUGGCGGACACAUAACUUUCUCUGGUUUAGGCAGUUUGGAUGCUUUGUCUUUUGGAGUUGUUGAUGUCUUGGUCCUGGCAUCCGUGGCUUCAUAAGCUUGUGAACUAUCAGAAGAACUCAUCUUUUGACAACAAAUCUGAAAAUCGAAACUUGUUAAAUUGAUGAGAAUAACAAGACCAUCAUGUCACUAUAUAUAGAGCUUGUUUUUUCAAUUGCGAAAUACAAGAGGAAUUUUGAUAGGACCAGGAGUAAUCUUUUCAAAACAUAAUAGGAAAACUUUCUUAAUCCAAAAAGGAAGAGGGAAAAGUUUGAACAGAUAUAGUCACCCAGAAGAAAAAUCAAUUAAAAAGGAGGAAACAAUUGAAUUUGAUAGUUAAAUCAAUUAAAAAGGAACUUAUGGAUUGGGGACACGUAGAAGAAAAAUGCAGCAUCAAUAUAUGUAAGGCACUAUUUUGAUAUUUUCAUCUUUUCUUCCAUCAGCAGGUAUUGUUAUUCUACUAGCUGGAUCUUAGCAUGGUGUUAUUGUUGGUGUUUUAGCUGCUCCUUGUGCGCAUAUAAUUCAUGACUAACCAGUAUAGUACUGUUCCUGUUCGUCAUUGCAUAACCGAGUUUGUACUCUUGAUAAGGCUUACUUGUUACGAACAAGAACAGGUACUUAGGAUCUGUAUUCGGACAUUAAUUUCCCAGAGAAAUCCUCCUCAUUACCUUGUGCUUUGUAGUUGAAACUCGUCCCGUUUUAUGACAGUUGUAGGCAGAAUGUAUUAUAUCUCCGAAGCUUCCAUUCAUUAUGAACUCAUGAUCCAGAAGCUUUAGUGCAAACCUCUGUUCUGAUCAAUAUGUUUUUCCCAAGACAAUAUAAGCUCUGAUCAAUAUGUUUUUCCCAAGACAAUAUAAGCAGCAGUUUUACAGGUCCUUCAUUUCAGCUUGUAAGUCAGUGUGCGUGUAUGAUUGAUUUACUGUGCUGAGUCUAUGACUCUGUAGAUAUAAUACAAAGUUGGAAAAAUCAAGAUAGAAGAUUUCUUAAUAUACUGCCUCGGUAGAUAAGGAUUUGCUUCCCCUUGCAUUCUUCCUCAGAUUCUUUAAUGCCUUGACAAAUUCCUUUUUCAUCAAAGUUUCUUAUAUUCCUGAGUCCUGAAUAGUCCUUGGUCUUCAGGUGAUCUAACAGUGUGAUUUGACAAUUCUAUUUCUUUGUAGGGAAGGAUCAAGAUGUUUCUCCAGCUACCAUUGCAAGAGUUCCAAAAUCUUAUGUGCCACUGCCAAGAGUAGUUGUGCCAUCGAUCUCUGUUGCUGAAGGUAUAGUUCUAGUGACAAUUGUGCCUAUCUUAUUAGGGGAAGGAAAAAGAUUUCUCCUUUUGCGUGUACAUCUUGCCUUCAUGUUCUUCAUUUCUCGUCUAGCAGAAAUCAAUUGAACUCCGUUUGCUGUUCCAGAAUUGGGUGCUGAAUUAGUUGCAGGCUAUAAAGUUUUGACAUUUUCAUCUCUUAUUUACAGGAGUAAAGAAAGCCAAUAAGAUUGAAGAGAUGAAUAAACAGAAUAUUAGAGCCGGCUCAAUCCCUCCCCCGCGUGCAGUCUUAUCCAGUCCUGGUAAUUAAUGUCUCGUCAUCCUUUAUUUAUAUAUGAUGUAGUACCAGUUGAGAAAACUAUUAUCAAGAGUCAAAAAAUAUAUUUCUAAACCCCUGCUGUAACUAAAUUACUAUUAAUGACUUUCAUGUAGAAGAUUAGGAUAGAUGUGAACUUCAUAAUAUGCAAAAUAGUAAAACUAGAAAGUUGAUCAUGUAUCACUUAUCAAGGUAUGUCAUGCAAUCAGACUUUAGGCUUCAGGAGUUACACUUAUCCGGUGAUUAAUUUGCUUUAUGAACUACUACUUUUAAUGAACAAGUAUUGUAACAAACUGUAAAAAAUUGAAUAGCAGACCAUGGAAUAUGGUUGAGUGUUGACUGUUGACUAAUACAUUGUUCAUGAUACACUUGUAUUCCAGCAUACUAGUUGAACUGCACUAUUUAGGACCAAGUAUUUCUUACCAUAGAAUUACCAAGUUCCAUUGGACUCGGCAGAGAGGUUUGUCUCAUCUCUAAUGAGCACAUGUGAUGCAGAUACAGUUUUCUUUGGCUAAACCCUUGUGAUUAAUAUUAUUGAUAGAUUGAAGAAAUUUCCAGAAACAUUUCGAGUUUGAAGCACUGGAAAUAGCUUCAUUACCUAGUUUAUAUGCAUGUUUCGGCAGCAUUAGUUUAUCUAUCUGUACAUCUUAUGGACUCUUUCACUAUCUAUAUGUUUUCAGAUAAUGAUAUGGUGAUUGGAAACAAAAAUAAGAUCAAAGCACAACGAUCAUCGGCUCUGAAGAAUCAUAGCAUGGUUCAGAAUAGAAGUACACAAUGUACUCCACUCCGCAUUACUGGAAAUUCCAUAAAAACAAAAAGUUCUAAGGGGACUUUGGUUGAGAACUGUCUUAAGGAAAGGAAAGGAUCAGCAUCAAAACUAACAAGUCAGAUACAACCACCAAGAACUGGGAAACCAAGCUCUAAGAAAAAGUGAGUGCAUGGUUUCUAGUUUACAUUAGAUGGGUGUUAAUACCUGAGUAACUUACUCUGAUUAAAAUGUAUCUACCUAGCUAUGUGACUAAUUGAAUGUUUGCUUUAUGUAGUAAGUAGUAACCGUUAGAUCGGUUGCUUACUGUUGUGUGAAGUGUGAACUAUACUGAUAUUAAUUGGAUCCGUCUUUUCUGAUGAAUAGCUUGUGCUUUGUUCUCAUUUCACAUAAUUGUAUUUUGUUUCUUCUACUACUGUAUCCUUAACUCCCUCUCUCUUUUCGUCUAUCAUGUUCAUCUGAAACGCUCUCCACCUAGCAAAGCGUUGGGUCUGGAAAUCCCUUUUUGUCUUCCCUAUCCUCAUAUAAGCUCUCCUCCUAGCCCCUGCCUCUACAGCUCUACCAUCGUUCCUUGCUUCUUAGGUUCAUAGCAAACCAACCGAGAAAAGACACCAUUGGAGUCUUGAAUUUUCAUCUUCAGGCAAAGAAUUGGUAGAAAAUAAGGAAUAAAGAUUACUGUUAUCAAAUAGCGUAGAUGACCAUCUUUUUCAGAUUAUGAGGAAGCUGAAACCUACGGUAACGUUGAAAGAUAACUAUAUAUCCGCACAAUCAAGCAACAAAACCAGCUACAUAUGACUGACCUAGCCAACAAUAAGAAAAGAACCAAGUAAAAAAAAUCUAGCUAGUGAAGAUCAUUCUACCUGAAAUAGGAGAACUAAGGAUGCUUAUAGAUAUUGCAAAGGAGGAAACUCCCUACCAUAUUCUUUUCCGAUGAUGUUGUUUCCAGCGCCACGGCCUCGACCUACCUCUGAUCCUAUAAUAUUUUUCCUUCUCAUUAUUCGUAGUGUCAGGGAACCUAGACUUCCAAGACAUAUAAUCCAACUCGCCUGAUCAAUUUCGUUUACAAAACCUGUGCCAUACUCCUCACGAAGCUUUUGCUUCCAGAACUGCUCAUCAAAUGCAUCAUUAGCCAGAUUUCGCAGCUCCUUACAAACACAUGACACACUAGCAACAUCCUCAACUGGUAGGCACUUCAAAAUCUUUGCUAAAAGCUCCGUAGGAAGCUCCAGAAGGCGGCACGGUGGAGCAUGCGAACCGGUGAGUGUGACUGCACAAUAAAGAUGUAUUAGUAAUGGCAAUGCUGUCUCAUUCUUCACAAAUCUUCUUAGCUUGUUUCUCAAGUAAUCCCACUGUCACUUGACAAAAUCGAUGGGCAGGCACGUACUUCUUCUCAUCCAACCCUACAGGGUAACUAUCACGGUAGGCCUCAACGAAUGGGUUGAAACAGUGAAACACCAUUACAAUGCCUUUUAUAGCCUCACCGCCAUUCUGUAGAAUCAGAGGCUAAGUACAAAAAACUGAUUCGCCCGAAACGGAAGCUGGGUUUAACGGCACGAAACCGGAAUCUAAGAGGGGCCAUAUGUACCACCUGUUUCACUAUCUUGAGUUUAAGAGCAGGUGGUUAUCAAUCAGCUAGCUUCUCCCUCUUCAAGAAGUAGUGCACGGAGUGCCAGUUCCUAAAUUAGCAUCCCAUCAGAACCAAUAUCAUCCAUUUUCAUUGUUCUUUUUUGGGUUAUCCGAUACAAAAAGUGAUAGACCUUACUUCUUGCCACCGAAAUAACCUCACCAAUAGGUCACAGCUGACCAACAAAGUUCUUGUUUUAGGGUUAUAAAUAUUAAGACACUUAUACAGACAAGGACAUCGCAAACUUGCUUUCUGUACAACAUCUGAUCAUGAGUGGACUAAACUUGAGGAGGGCAAAUGGUACAUAGAAAUCAUGGGGUGUGAUAAUGAGUUCUAUGUCCUGAUGGAGGACGAUAGUGUUGAUGUCUGGGAUUUCAGCAUAUCUUCCAUUCCCAUGAAGAAUAUGGAGAUAAAACCUGCACAUGCAUUAGUUGCAGGACUAAGAAGGUUUCAUCAAGUUUACAUGCACAAAACAGCGGGGACUGGUCUAAUGCUGGUAGCAGUGGAUUUACGGUCUCCACUGGAUCGCGAUCUACUCCAUGUUUAUAAGCUGGAAGGGACAUCUCCUGUGUGGAAGGAGGUGGAAUCGAUUGGGAGUAAUGCCUUGGUUUUAGGUUCGAACAAUUCCAUAGUAAUGUCACACCAUGAUCCCUACGCUGUGAUGGUGAUUCAAUUUACUAUGGGAAGCAGUCAGCACCUAGAUCUUGGAACUUAUAUGUGUUUAGUUUGAAAGACAAAUCAAGGAUCAAAGUCUGUAAACUGCCAGUGGACUUUGUACCACUAGCUUUUUCGGGAUCCUAAAUCCUAGCCAGGAAGGGAAAAUGCAGUACCGGAAGGUGGCUUUGAAUAAACUUUGUUGGCAUUGAGGCUUGCUUUCCUAUCUAUAUGGUGGAAAUGUGAAACUGGUUUUUUUGUUUUCUUUAUGGUAUAAGUAACAGAGUACAAUAAUCAAAGAUUCAAAGCUCGAUCGAGUAACAACCGUCAGGGAAAAUAUAUUUUCUAUGGAACUUGUACUUGCUGAAGCAAUACAGCAUUUGGUUUUGGAAACUGAGUUUCAAUAUCUGUAUACAGUAACUCUAAAACAUAACAGAUCCUCCUAAAUUUGGGGUGGGAUUUGUCCCCUGACAGAAAUACAUGCCCAAUGUUGUUUACCUCAAUCCAACUGCACCCCGGUUGCUUCUUGACUCCUUUCUCUUUCAUCCUUGCCUUAAUCCGUCCAGCAUCUUCUCUUCUUCCAUAACUCGAAUACAUUUCUGCCAAAAUCAAAUAGAUACCGGAGUUACCAGGCUCUAUUUCCAAAACCCUCUCCCCGGCAAUCUCACCCACCUCAAUAUUCUUGUGGAGUCUACAAGCUCCAAGUAAUGCCCCCCAAACACUUGCACGAAUCUCAAAUCCAUCAGAUUUCAUUUGAUCUAGAAAACUCAUUGCCUCGUCUAUAAGUCCAAAUCUUCCGAAUAAAUCAACUAUACAUGUAUAAUGCUCAGUAGUAGGUUCAAGAAAAUAUGUGUAUCUCAUCAUGUCAAAGUAAUAUUUACCUUGGUCGACCAACCCUGCAUGGCUACAAGCAGAUAGAACAUUGACAAAGGUUAUAGCAUUGGGAUCAACAGAUGUUGAUCUCAUACAUUCGAACAUCUCCAAAGCUACUUCACCAUUCCCAUGAUGAGCAUAUCCACAUAUUAUAGAAUUCCAAGAAAUGACAUCACGGAUGGGCAUGAACGAGAAUUCCAGUAAAGCGGAAUCCAUGCUGCCACAUCUUGCGUACAUGGUAACCAUAGCAUUAGAAACUGAAACAAUGUCACCGAAUCCUUCUUUUACUAUAUGUGCAUGAGUUUGUCUACCUAGGUGUAAGGUUGGUAAGUCUGAACAGAUUGUCAAAACACUAGUAAAUGUUGCUUUGUCUGGUGAUGGCCCUGAUUCUUUCAUUCUCAUAAAAAGCCUCAAACCCUCUUCACCACGAUCGUUUUCACUUAAUCCAAAUAUCGUGGCAUUCCAUGCAGUUGUAUCUCGAGUAGGCAUGGACUCAAAAAGUUUAAUUGCAUCGCAUACCUCUCUGAUUCCAAAAUAUCCAACAAUCAAAUUUGUCCAUGAUAUGACACAUCUGUAAGGCAUCUUCUUAAGCAAAGCAUGAGCUUCUCUAGUGAGCUCAUUUCUCGUUAGCUUCAAAAGGAUCGAGUUCCAUGUUUUGGGACAUUUCUCUGGCAUCUCCAUAAAUAGCUUCAAGGCAUCAUUAAUUCUAUGGCACUCGACCAACCCCUCUACCAUUUGAGUCCAAGACUCCAAGUCCCGCUCGGGCAUCUUCUGAAACAACCCCUCUGCAACUUCAACGCACCCAUUUCCUAUAUACCCAACUAUCAUCGCAUUCCAAGCCUGAACAUCCCUCACAGGCAUCUCAUCAAAAAGCUCCCGAGCUUCAACAAUCCGCCCUGCCUCACCAAACACCGAAAUCAUUAUCGUCCAUGAAGCACAAUCCCGAACACUCAUCUUCUUAAAAUACUCCUCAGCCAAAUCAAACUCCCAAUACUUCACAAGUCCCCCAACAACCAAGUUCCACGAAACCACAUCCUUCACCGGCAUCCCCUCAAACACUUGCACCGCUUCACCAAUCCUCCCAUUACGAACAUACCCAGAAAUCAUCGAAUUCCAACUCACAACGUCCCAGAAGUCCAUCCCAUCGAAAACCCGCCUCGCGCCCUCCACGUCCCCACAUUGCAUCAACCCGGCAAUGACCGUGUUGUACGAGAAGACAUCCCGCUCUUUCAUCCGAUUAAACAAGCUGACUGCUGUGGCGAACUGCCCGUUUAGAAAGUAGCCACGAAUCAUGGCGUUCCAGGUGACCGUGUUUCUGUGAGGCAUUUCGUCGAACAGCUUCUGGGCGUCUUCGACGAACCCAUUGCGCAUAAAAUUUGAGAUUUUGGAGUUGAGGGGUUUUAGAUCGUAUGAAGUUGGAUUCUGGGUUUGGAAGAAAGGGGUUGAAGUUCCUGUACAUAGUGAUUUGGUGAGGGUUAGAUAGAGGGGUCGAGUAAGCUUGAGCUUAGAAAUGGAAGAUGAGAAGUAGAGCAUGCUACGACUCCAUUCGUUUGGACUGGCGGGAAGCCGGGAAUAACAAAUAGAGGCAAGAGUUUCCGCUAAAUUACUGUUUUGGCCUUAUAGUUGUGGCGAUGAACUUGUCAUCUUUGAAUUUUCAUUUUUGGAGUGUAUGGUUUUUUUUUAUAACUUUUAUAAAAAUUAAACCACACACUUACAUAUGUCAAUGAGUGAAUGAUGUAUUUUGAUAAUAGUAGUGCUACAAGCACCAUAAAAUUAAGUAGAAGUAUAUGGAUAAUUUGGACUAAAAGAAACCAUGAAGGUUCUUAUCUAAAAACAAACAAAAAAAAUUGUGUUUAAAGAAAUGCAAACUUCAGGUACGAUAAAAUUGAAAUAGGGAUUCAGCUCUAUUUUAAUGUACCUGAAAUAAAUAAAUAACGAGCAAUAUUUUAAUCUCUGACAUGUUCAUAAGUUAUGAAGAAUAACCAACAAAUUAAGGUUACGUGCUUAAUUCUCACUAUUAUCAUAAAUAUGUGAUCGAAAAUUGUCGUUUCUUUUAACGAAAAACAUUAUGGUGAUCUUGAAUGUGGAAAUGCCUUGUAUAUUAUGGUGAUCUUGAAUAUGGAAAUGCCUUGUAUAUGAUAUCUCUAGUUUAUAAUAAUUUCAAAGGGUAAUGCUUUGUGGAAAAAAUAGAAUAGGAGAUAAAAAAAAGAAAAAAAAAGGAAGGCUCCCAAUCAACCAAAAAGCCCCGUACCCUCAAGAAAUCGUGCAAAUUAGUCUUAGAUUGGACUAUGUAUAUAUAGAGCUAACACUCACUUAUCUUAUCCUCCCAUGUAUUUCCUAUCUCUUGCACACUCACCGAGUCACUGGCCAUAAUCUGCCCACAUCAGCCUACAAAGCUUUAACUCCAUCCCACGCUCCCAUCCCUUCCUUCUCUCUUUUCCUCACAUCCAGGACUUCAUCUUCGAUCAAAACUUUACAACUAAACCACCAUUACCCUUAUCUACCUCACUCACAUUCACCACUCUAAACCACCACCAUGGCUGCCACUGCAGCCGCAGCCAUGAGCUCGUCGUUCUCUCCCUCCAUCCACACCACCCUCAAAUGCAUGCGCUCCAACUACCACUUAGCCGCCCCUCACCACGAUCUUCACCUCAGAAUAUCAACACCAACCCGCAUGCUAUCUUCAUCGUCUUCGCUAUCUGCUCAUUCAUGUGUUAUUGAUCAGCCACUGGUUUCUAGACGCGUGCUGAGAAUAUCGUGCGCUUCUGUGGACGUGGCUGUGACGGAAGAGGUUGAAGAAGAAGCUGUUGUGGCGGAAGAAGAGAAGCAGGUGGAAGAGGAAGUGGUGGCGCCGACAGCUGAAGUUUCGAGUGAGGCUGCUGUUUCGACGGAUGAGCUCCCUGUGAACACGAAGCUUUACUUUGGGAACCUUCCUUACAGUGUUGACAGUGCUCAACUUGCUGGGAUUAUUCAGGACUAUGCAAGUCCUGAACUCAUUGAGGUGAGUAGUUAAUCAUGUGGUACCAGUUGUUUUUGUUGAAAUAUUUGUUUAUAGUAGUCAUUAGUGUUUUGUUACCUACUUUUUAUUAGUACAUUAGAAAAAAUCAAAAAAUAAACUUGUUAUCAGAUUAUCGGUUAAUUUGAUCAAGUAGCUAGAGUCCUCUUUGAAUGUAUGACUCAAUUGGACUCUUCGAUAAGCGACAAGAAAUCCCAAUCCUAAUUCUCUAGUCCUCUCACACUUGUGUUAUGAAUUUGGCCUUGCCAGAGAAUUGUAAAAUGAGGGUGAUCAAAGUCAGGUACAGAUCAAAAUUAAAUGAAGUUACGGAAUUGGUUUUAGUGUUAUGUAAUAUAUGUAUGGUAAUGGGGUGAUAUACAUUUAGAUUGGAGUAAUUCAUUUGAGCAACAUAUGGAACACAUAACAUAAGGCUAGCUAUCUGUAUAUUACUGAAGAGUGAAGACCUACAAGCAAGAGUAUUGAAGAUAGUUUAUGUCCAACACACACAUUAUGCAAGAUAUGAAUAAUUCAAAGGUUGUUUUGUGUAAGCAUGUUGAAAUUCAUUACGUCAACGAUUGUCUGAAUAGUUCAUGGUUCAAUUUUUUAUUUUCUUUACUUUGGCUUCUUUAUCAUGAUCAGCAUCUGUUAUUUGCUCACCGCACCUCUUCUCUUAAUUUAUCCCUUUAAGAGACACUGAUAUUACCAUUCAUGAUCAUAUAUAGGUUCUCUAUCAUAGGGACACUGGAAAAAGCAGAGGAUUUGCAUUUGUGACGAUGAGCAGUGUUGAAGAUUGCAAUGCUGUAAUUGAAAAUCUUGACGGACGCGUAAGACUCUCAAAGAAACUAUCUUACAUAUACUACUUAUACUCACCACAUUACCGAUCGCAUCUCAGUGUCACAACAAGGGAUGCACUAGACAUAAUUUACCCUGACAUUUACCCAUGUACAGGAGCUAGAUAGAGAUGUGGUUGUUAUACAUGCAUACUCAAAGUCUCAAACCUUGUUAAAAAGCAUCGUUGAUUCUAAUUUUCAGGAGUACAGUGGCCGGACCUUGAGGGUUAACUUUUCGGACAAACCUAGAGCGAAAGAACCUCUAUAUCCAGAAACUGAGUACAAGCUUUUUGUUGGGAAUUUGUCCUGGUCAGCCACAUCUGAGAGUUUGACAAAAGCUUUCCAAGAAUAUGGAAAUGUGGUUGGAGCCAGGGUUCUAUAUGAUGGGGAGACAGGAAGGUCCCGUGGCUAUGGAUUCGUAUGCUUCUCAACAAAAGCGGAGAUGGAAACUGCCUUACAAUCUCUAGAUGGAGUGGUAAUGUUUCCUAGUCUCAUCUGCAUUCUAUAAAUGCAGAGAUGAUCUAUUUCGACAUAAUUAGUGCAGUUUCGGGUAGUCAAUUGACUGAUCCUUGUUUUGUUUUCUUGGCUUUUCAGGAACUAGAGGGAAGAGCAAUGCGUGUAAGCUUGGCUGAAGGAAAGCGCUCAUAAAUCUGCUAGAGUAAAUUUUGUUAAAUUUGAAGAUUCAUGCCAGCUGAGAUCAUUAUAUCCCAUCACAACAGCGAGGAACUCUCUUUUCAUUCUUAAUAGUUGUAUUGUAACUCAUUCUUCCUCAUCUUCAAAGUGGAAAUUCUCUAUUUUUCCCAAAGGCGAUGGUGGUUUCGUUCCUUGUUGAUCGGCUGUUUAAUACUACAGAGUUUAUGCAUUCAAGUGUCAAUGAUUCUAUUUGUGAACUUUCGAAUCCUUAACACUAUGUACCUCAUAAAUGAAUAACUAAUUGUUCUAAAUUUUGAGCCAACCACUCUCGAACUCUCUAUUUUAGACUUUCAUCUUGCUUAAGUUAUUUUUUUAGUGUCAAUUUCAAGGUCUACACUUGCUGAUACUUUUUUUCUAUAGAAGUUUUUUUUUCUUGACUAAGCUAAAUCUUUUUAUAAUAACAACUAACGUUACAACUUUGGGAGAACUCGGUGGUGGACAACAAGUCCCCACACUCCUCUUAGCAACACACCAACGAUUACAAUGGGUAUCAACUGAAUGGGUCCAAAUGUAAUGCGAAUAUUCACUAUCAUUACCCUGGCAAGGGUUUAGUUUUCUCAUCAUCCUCCAUUUUAUCAUAAACUUCCUCUGUGAAGUCUUAUGCGUCCUUAAAUUAUUGUCUUUGCAUGUGGAAAAACUAUAUGUUGGGUGAGAAAAUGAUGUAGGGUGCACAAAAUGGUAUUAGAAUAGGAUAAUUUAGCAAUUGUAAACGGGUGAGGAAAGUAAAUUGGAAACUUAAAAAAUAUAUAUAGGGUGAGAAGAGAACGUAGAGUGAAUAUAAGAGCAAGUUCAGCGGUUAGUAAUUGGCCGGUCUCCACGUAAGAAUGUUGAGGUGGUGACCACGGUUUCAUAAAAACUCGUUUCCUCCGGUGGUAUGUUGACCCACUUUGUUUUGACAUUUACUGACCCAGCACAAGAAAAAGGCUAGGAUUUUGACCCAAUUCCUGACCCAGGCAAGCCGAUUGCCAACUAGAAACGUGGGUCCGCCAGGCCUCCAUUUGGAGAGAGAGACGCCAGCAGCCUAGUUUGUGCUAAACGAAUAGACUACAUGCUUGCACGUGGAGGCUCACCAGUGGCUGGUUAAUUUAGAAAUUGAAAAUGCUCUUUUAAUCUAAGCGGUCUAUUUCAAUCAGUUAAGAGAUUACGGUAUAUAAUUAAGGUCCCAUAAUUAAUCUAGGGUAUUAUAACAAAACAGCGUGACAAAAAAUUCUCAAAAAUUUCCAUAACCACCUAUCAUAUAUUUUACGUCUUUGUCCCCAAAAGGGUGUUAUUUCUAUUGCUAUAGCUCUCACCUUCCAUCUAUUUACAUCAUAUGUAUUUCAAUUACCUUAUGUAGCAGUUCUAUUUAUAUCAAAUAUAUUUUAAUUUUGCAAUAAAUAAAUUUAUAAAAUAUUUAAUGAACAGUAACUGAUUGGUCAAAAAACGGGUGGAAACUGACAAUGAACAGUGUCUUGACCUAGUGACCAAUGACUUUUGACAUUUUGACCCAACGGGUGAACUUGCUCUAAUAGCUUGUAGGGUGACAGUAGAUGCACCAUAAAUGAUAAACUUUAUUUAAAUUUGUUUCAUUAAAUCUCAGCCAUUAGAUUUGAUUUGGAUUGAUCCAAGGGUGACCAAAUGUCUCUUGGUCAGCUACUGACCAAGUAAACAUGCAUGUUUCAAUUAACCAUAUACUGAAAAACCGCAUUCCCAGCUCCAACUUAAAAUUUCGAUUACUCAACAUAUUUAACCUAGCUCUCUCUCUCUCUCUCUCUCUCUCUCUCUCUCUCUCUCUCUCUCUCUCUCUCUCUUCUCUCUCUCUCUCUCUCUCUCUCUCUCUCUCUCUCUCUCUCUCUCUCUCUCUAGAUACAUUCCUAAGUCGCAACAAACUCACAUUUCUCCUCCAAAUCUUCAGCACAACCAUAUCUAAUAGGAUAUAUUUAAGUUGUUUACGACGUUGGUUGUGUGUCUGUGGCGGUAUCGAAUUACACAAAGAUGAUCAGCAAUCUCCAAUAAUCUAUAUGGCGGCAACAAAGACGGCGUUGCUCGCUGCUACUUGACCCACCUAUCCUAGAGCUUCUAAGCGAAAUCCGGUUGUGCACACUCAUUGAGACGCUGAAUCUCGAAAAGACUAAGAUGCUAAAUGAUAAUAUUGAAGAAAUCAAAGAUGGGUCGAGUCGUCAUUUGGAUCAAUGGUUAGAUGCGAUAGGAAUGGGAUGGCAAAGGCAGUGGUGUUUGAGGCAAGGCGACACCAGAUGUUCUUGGGCGAGACGAUCGUCAAGAUGUUGAGGUUCCGGGUCAAAAUGUGUAGAAUUCCAGCGGCAUGGUGGGUGAAGGAGAUAUGGAAGGGCACGACUGUGGGUUUCGAUUUUAUUGUUAGGUUUAAAAUUGGGGAUGAAUUUAGGGUUUGAAAUUGUGAUAUGUUCAUUUUACCUUUCUUAAGGGAUGAAUGACAAAAAAGUGGGUCACCGUGUAUACUCCAACUCAUCACAUAAUGUCACAUUCGAGCCAAACUCAAAUUUUUGACCAGAUUAAUGCAAUUUAGAGGUCGUCGUGAUUAUUAAAAAAAAUUAAAAAAAUACAAUGACUAAACUGAUUUUAACCUUAAAUUUACAGGAAGCUGAAAUUUACACUCUCAAAUUUACAUUCCACACUCCCACUAUCUAGUUUUAAUAUAUUUUAAUACUUCCUUUAUUGCUUUUACUGUUUUACCCCUUAUCUCAUCUUCCUUGCAAUACCCAACAACAAUUAUCAGCUCUUUGCCUCUUUCUCAAUUUCUCAUUCUCAUCACUACCAGUUCAACUAUAUUCAAAGUGGCAAGAGCAAGACCUGCCUCCAAGUCCCAACGAAGCCAUAAAAAAAGCACUCUCAUUACUUCCCAUCUCCUUCUUCUUCUUCUCUUUUGCCUAUUCUUCUUCGAUAAACAACAUCGGCUUCUCCAUUGGUGACCGUCGUAUAAUCGUGAAGCCCUCCACCCUUAUUUUGCUUCAACUCACAUUUGAAUUGCUCUAGAAGUCGUUGACGACUCGACUCCCAAACCUUGGGAACUAGGUUUCUACGGUCGAACCUCUGUGCUCUCAAAGGACUCAGGUGUCUCGCACUUCAUAAAGAAACGAACCAUUUUUGGUGAAUUGGAGAUGAGGAAGAAGAUGAAUCAAGAGUGGAUAUGUAGAUAAAUGAUCAUAAAAGGUUUUCAAUCCUAAAACCCCAGCUCGCCAUUAGACACACCCCACCCCUUCAAUUUCUAUAUUUUUUUGGUCAAAUCAAACCACACCUUCAAGAUCAAUGUUCGAACCAAAGCAUCAAUUUGUUCUUCCCUUAAUUAGCUGAUGAAGCUUGUCUUUCUCAAUUUUCUCCUCCCUUAAUUAGCUGUUGAAGCUAACUUUCAACAUGAAGUGGUGAGGCUCCUUCACUUCUCCGGUAGCCGAAGCUAACCUCUAGGCCGCUUGGUUGCCAGCUGGUUCCUCAACGCCUUGCCUCCAGUGGAUUUCUUAGUAUUUGCUUGAUGCGAGCCAUAUCUGAUCUGAAUAUGACUAAGGUUUUGUGGUUUUCGAAAGAUUGAUCAUAUGCCACCGUCUUUUCUUUUAACGGGAAAAUCAACUGACAUUUUGGCAAAAUCUGAAGUUGAUUUGUAAGUAACUUAAAAUACAUUAAAACUAGAUAGUGGGAGCGAUGAAUGUAAAGUUGGGAAUGUAAAUUUCAGCUCCUGAUUUAAAAGGACUAAACUGAAAUUAAACCAACCAAAAAAAGGGAAAUGGUUGUGACUCACAAUUUGUCGCCUUCAUGGCUUCAUUAGACUAGUUAUGGCACCAUUGCUCUCUCCUAUAGUACUAAUAGUAGUUCUACUUUGUGAUAACUAAUAACUAAUGAAACAAGAUGAGGCUUCCAACCUAUUAACAUUAAGCUCAUAGCUAAUAUAGAUCUCGAAGCUCAAGAUAUUCAACAAUGGAGGAGAGAGAAAAGAGAGAACCUGGAGCAAAAGCUUUCAGAUAUUUUCAAUAGAAUUCAACAUAAUAAAAAUAACAAGGCACACAACAUUUAUAGUUAGGAAAUAAUCCUAACAAAUUAUUACAAGAAAAGGAAAACACGAGAGCAUGGAAUCCAGCUGUCAACCACAACACUGGUCAAUAAGCUCAUGAGUCAACUAUUAUGAAAACGACACCGUUUUCACUCCCCCUCAAUCUCAGCUGGGGAGAGCAAGCUGAGAUUGGAACAAUGAGUCUUGAAAGAAGGAUUGUGCAAGCCUUUAGUAAAAAUAUAUGUUGUUUGUUCUGCUGUAGGCACAUACUUAAGGAGCAGGUCUUGUCUUUGAACUCGUUCUCGAACAAAAUGAAAAUCAUUAUCAAGAUGUUUAAUCCUUGAAUGAAAGACAGGAUUAGAACAAAGAGCUAAUGCAGACAGAUUGUCACACUUAAGAAGAGGAGGAGCAAGAAUUUGAACAUGAAGAUUACACAACACAUGUCUAAGCCAUGAGAUUUCCGCAGCUAUGUUUGCUAAAGCUCUAUACUCAGCCUCAGUAGAACUCCUAGAAACUGACCCUUGCUUCUUUGAUUGCCAAGAAAUUGGGCAGUGACCUAGAAAUACCACAAAUCCUGUAGUAGAUCUUCUAUUGUUUACUUCCCCAGCCUAGUCUGCAUCACAAAAGGCUCUAAUAAAAGGAACACUGUGGCCAUAUUUAUAGAGAAGACCUUUGGACAGAGUACCUUGGAGAUACCUCAAGAUUCUCUUAACUGAAGCAAAAUGAACAUCUGUUGGAGCUGACAUAAAUUGGCACACUGUAUUUAUUGAAUAGGCAAUAUCCGGCCUAGUAAAUGUCAAAUACUACAGAGCACCAACAAUGUUUCUAUAAAAAGAUGGAUUAGACAAUGGAGUACCUUCAUCUUUAAGAAGUUGCACAUGAGGAAGACAAGGUGUGCUACUACAGUUUUUGCAAGAAGAUAAGUCUGCUUUAUCAAUUAAUUCUCUUGCAUACUUCUCUUGAGAGAGAAAAAUUCCACUGCCCUUAUGUUCAACACUUAUCCCUAGAAAAUACGACAAACUACCAAGAUCUUUCAUGUCAAAUACUUCACUGAGUUCUUUAGUAACAUCUUGAAUACCUUUCUUGUCUGAACCAGUAAUUAUUAUGUCAUCUACAUAGAGUAAUAGUGCAACAACACCAGUAGAAGAAAUUCUGAUAAAGAGACUAGGAUCAGAGUGAGAAAAGGUAAACCCAAGCUCUAGGAGCUUGCUUUAAACCAUACACGGACUUUUUUAGUAGACAUAUAUGAUGAGGAAAAUUUGGAUCUUCAAACCCUUGAGGCUGCUGCAUGUACACUUCUUCCUAUAGGUCUCCAUGAAGAAAAGCAUUUUUAACAUCCAAUUGUUUGAGCUCCCAUAUAUUCAUAGCUGCAAGAGCUAGAAUUAAUCUGACUGUAUUGUGCCUCACUACAGGGGUGAAAGUUUCUUCAUAAUCCAGACCUUUCUCUUGGCUAUACCCCUGAGCUACAAGUCUUUCUUUGAAUCUUGAAACUGAACCAUCAGGAUUCUUCUUUAUCUUGUAUCCACUUACUGCCAACAAAAUUUUUAUUUUGAGGUAAAGGAACCAAUUCCCAUGCAUGUACCUUGUUUCUUCAAAGCUGAGAUUUCUUCAUUCAUGGCAUCAUCCCACUCAGGUUUACCUGUAGCACCCUUAAAAGAACUCGGCUCAAUCAAAUCAGAAAGAUGCAUAAUAGAAGAAAAUCCAUUGAAAAAUGCCAACUCAUCAAAAUUUUCUUGCUGAACAAUACAAGAAAAUGCGUAGUAAUCUUCAAAAGAUUUCUUCUUAAUGAUCCCAUUCUUUGCUCUAGUCAGCAUAGAGUGAUUAUUGUAAGCCUGAUUUGGAUCUUCAACAAAAGAUAGUUCAUAAGGAAGAGAAGGAUUAUCACCACCAUUUAUGACUUCAGUACCAUCCACAAGACUUACACCUCUAACAUUGCUUUGAAGACCAUUAUUACUCUAAAAAUGAGUAUUGCUGACAUUCGUAUGACUACAACUAUUAUUAGCAUUGAUGUUACUAUUGUCACUAGUCUCAUUUGUAUUGACAGAAUUCUCAUUUGCACUGACAUUUUCAUCAAGAUUCACAUAUGCAUUAUUUACAACUGGAUUAUGAUCAAAGUGUUCAACAUCUAAUCUUAUAUUAUGAGCACCAAGUCUAACACCCCCCCCCCCCCCCCUAGCAGACACAGAAGGAGAAGCUGGAUGUGACUGAUGAGGAGGUAAGCAUGAGAGUAAAUGAUAUGGAAAAAUAGUCUCAUCAUGAAUAACAUGUCUAGACAUCCAAAUCUUAUUCAAGGCAAUACUGUAGCAGAAGACACCCUUAUAGCCUAAAGCAUAUCCCAAGAAAACAUAUUGAACUAACCUGGAGUCAAGCUUAUCCUUAACAUAAGGCCUUAAAUAAGGAUAACAAGCAGAACCAAAUAUUCUCAUGGAAUUGAGACUGGGAUGAGAGCCAAAGAACCGGAAAUAGGGAGAGACCAUAGCCAAAGACCUGCAAGGCAUUCUAUUGAUAAGAAAGGCAACAUGAGCAACAGAAUGAAACCAAAAAGGUUUAGGCAAUUUGGUUGCAGUCAUUAAUGUAACACAUGUCUCCACAAUAUGCCUAUUCUUCCUCUGAACAACACCAUUCUGCUGAGGUGUGUAAGGACAUGUAACGUAAUGAAGAGCACCUUUGGACUCAAAAAAAUUAGCAAAGGCUUUACUAGUAAACUCUCUUCCACCAUCUGUUUGCAAGCAUCCAAUUGAAAAGUGAAAUUGGGUAUAAACAAAGGCAUAGAACUUCACAAAAGUGGCAAAAGUGUCUGAUUUAUUGAUCAAAGGAUAAAGCCGUACAAACUUUGUGUAAUCGUUUAUGAAUGUUACAUAAUAUAUGUAACCUUCAAGAGACAAACAGGAUGCAGGCCCCCACACAUCUGAAUGAACUUUCUGAAAGGGAGUAGUACAUUGAGUUUUGGAUUCAGUAAAAGGUAGCCUAUGCAUCUUGCCAGACAAACACGAAACACACAAAUGACUAGAUGAGUCUUUAGGAGAUGAAAUCUUAGUUAAGCAUUUUAGACACAACUUCUAAAGAUGGAUGCUCAAGCCUUUGAUGCCAAAGAGAGGACUUCACAACUGAGCCAAUGAAAGCAGUAGCAGACUGUGUUAUUAGAGGAGAUUUGACCAAAAAGAGCCCUUCCUCACUGCUCUUUCCUUGGUAUAGAACAUCCUUUGACACUUUGUCCUGCACACAUAUAUCAGUGUCAUCCAUGACAAUAAAACAUUUAUUGUCUUUACACAACUUGUUAAAAGACAAUAAAUUUACUGCCAGGCUAGGAACAUGUAGAACAUUCUGUAGUUGAAAUGUAUGAGAAGCAGGAGUAAGGCUAGCUGAACCAAUGUGUUUAAUAUUCAAACAUUCCCCAUUUCCAAUGGUGAUUAAGUUGGUGGAUUCAUAAGGGUGAGCAAUUUGGAGAUUUCUGAUAUCUGAAGUCAUAUGAUGAGUAGCUCCUGUGUCACCGAUCCACACAGCAUUAGUACCAACACCAGAGGAUGAAUUACCACCAAAAGUAUGAGUUGACGUUGCUGCAAGGGUUGCAGGAGGAUCAGCACCCUGAUAAGCAUAAUUGCUUCUGUGAGAACAGUCAAGAGCAACAUGACCCUGCAUUCCACAAAUUUGGCACACCACAAUUGGUUUAGAAGGAUUAGAAUCAUCCCUGGAGAAACAAUUUUUGGCAGUGUGACCUCUCUUGGAACAAAGUUGACAUUCAGGAGAGACUCCAAAAAAAGAUCUGUACUCAGUAGAAGAACUUCUGAAAUUAGGAGAUGCAUGAUUAUUGUAGCAGAUACUUGCAAUAUGACCCUUCCUGUGACAAUAUCCACAUUCUAGAUUAGAAUAGCAGUCAUUAGCUAGAUGACCUCGUUUGCCACACUCAUGACACUCUAGAGCACCCUUAGAUUGAAAUCCACCAGAUUGAGAAGAUGACCCUUGAGAAAUUCGAAUUACUCCAAGUCUGUUGUUUGUCACCAUUUCCUGUCCAAACUCCUUUUCCUUUAUCUCUAGAGGAAAAGUUAGAACCAGCUCUGUAAUUACCAUUGUGACUAGUACCUCUAGCUGCCAUAGCUGUUAAACUAUUAGGAAUUGAGAACUGAGCUUCAAUAUCUCUCUCAGCUACCCGUAGUUGAGCUCGAAGAUCUUUAAACGAAAUUAAAGUGUCUCUGGCAUGAAUGAUUGUCUUUAUCAUGGCAUACUCUUCUGGCAGACCAUUGAGAGUGAUGACAAUCACAUCUUCAUCUAGCAUUGAUACUCCCACAGAACAAAGCUGAUCUCUUGCAUGUUUAAUGCGAAGAAGAUACUUGUCAAUAGAAUCACUUCCCUUCUUAAUAGUUUCGAGGUCAGUCUUCAGUUGCAUAAUGCUUGCCCUGGAUACAGAAGAGAACCUCUCUUGAAUAGCAAGCCAUGCCUCUCUAGAAGACUUACUACCUACAAUGAUAUCCAUUAUCUCAUCAUCAAGAGUUGCCAUCAACAAGUUAAGCAAUGCCUUGUCAACCAUCUUCCAUUGCUUGUAAGCUGUUGUCACUUCACUAGUUAUUGAACCUUCUUCAAAUAAAGCAUAGUGUGGAGGGCAAAGAUAUGUUCCAUCAAAAUAACUAAACAGAUCAUUGCCUUCCAAAACGGAUUGAAACUAAAAACUCCAUUUGAUGAAGUUCAACUCUCCAAGUCUCAUAGUGAUCAUGCUUAGCAAAGAGUUAAUCUCAAACUGAGUCACUUUCUUAAUUAUGGUAGUCAUAGUUGCACACUGGAGCAAACACACAAUUACACACUUAAUUGAACUUCACACAGAUAGAGUAUACUUCUACUUUCAACUAAGCAGAUAUUGAAUGACAAGUUGCACAAAUGGCACUGAGUACACAUAGCACAUUUGAUUCUUAGCACAAAACAAAUACACUGGCACUGAUUUUAUACUUUCUGCAAUAGCACACAAUCUUUCACUAUUAGAAACAUAAUUUCAACGCAUCACAACACUAGACACCUCUUUGCACAUCAUAGCUCUUCUUAGAACAACAACUUGCAUAAACUUGAAAAUACCAGACUCCUCUUUGAAAUUACACCACAAUAAGCUGAGAUUCACUAGAAAAGAGUAGUAUCACACUGCAUACUAUAGAUAUGAGAGAAUAGAUGCCAGAUGAAGCUUAACAACAUCACUUCCUUCAAAAAAUAAGCUCUAUUUGCUUUUAAACCUCAAUCGAUUACAGAUCAUCAUGAGUAUACACUACAGAUAUCAUCACAGUAUCGAUCACAAGAGACUCAUAUAUUUUGACCAGAUAUACAAGUUAAUCUACUUCAAAAGACUUCAAUCAACUCAGAAAUGCACAAGGAUUCUUCAUAUUAAGCUUGCGAAACAUGAAUCUACAGCAAUACAAUAGGAUAAAAAAAGCUAGGGUUUCAAAGAAGUAAAAACUAGUGGAAGCAUACUAUAAACUCCAUUAAUGAGUAUAAUCAAGCUUGCAGGAUCAAUAGCCGCAGCUCUGAUACCAUAUUAACAUUAAGCUCAUAGCUAAUAUAGAUCUAGAAGCUCAAGAUAUUCAACAAUGGAGGAGAGAGAAAAGAGAGAACCUAGAGCAAAAGCUUUCAGAUAUUUUCAAUAGAAUUCAGCAUAAUGAAAAUAACAAGGCACACACAACAUUUAUAGUUAGGAAAUAAUCCUAACAAAUUAUUACAAGAAAAGGAAAACAGGAGAGCAUGGAAUCCAUGUCAGGACCCACCCCGAAUUUCACCCUGAAACCCGAAGUAAAUCCUGCGGGGACCACCUCCAAGGAAAGUUUACCGAAAAAUCGGCAUAACCUCCCUUGAAAAUGGACAACCCUUCCUAAUAAUACAUGCAUACACUUCAAAAGAAUCCAUCUAUAACCCUCUCCUCUUGGAGCCUUCGUGCUCCCCAAAUCACAACAUCUCCCAAUUUAUUUACUCACUUUAAUAAGAAAAACUCACAACCAACAAUCACAGGUUCAAAGCAAUUCUAUUUGAGAGGAAAGAAACUAGAAAUAUAAAAAUGAACAUAAGCUAUACUAAUGACUAUGCCUCUUCACCAUGUACGCCCGACCUCAACAAAGCUAACCUGCAUACUGGGCAUUUUUAAAACGAAGGGCUCAGGGGAAAACAUUUGCAAACGUUAGAGUGAGUGAACAAAAAAGAAUUUAAUUAAAAUAUUUAUGUUUUCCCAACUUAAAUUUCCAUAGAAAAUAUGUUGCAUGCGACAGCUUAAAAGCUCUCAACUCAUAAACUGGCAAAUACAUGACUAGCUCUGGCUAGUCUCCAAAACUUAAUAAAAUACAGCCUCUCAGGCUAAACCAUAUAUAUAUGUAUGUAUUUACACUUGUCAUACUCCUUGUAUGAUUUCUUAUGAAGAAAUAUAAGAAAAGUAGAAAUUCAUACAAGGCUACUACGCUUGCGUCUAACGCUCACGUCACACCAUAAUAGAAUUUUACCUCAUUAUGGCGGAAAAGCACGAGUAUAUAUAUACGUGCAUAUUCCCUAUAUAAAUUACUAAAUUUAUAUAGGGUUACAACGAUUGCGUCUAACGCUCACGUCGCGCCAUAAAAGAAUUUUUACCUAAUUAUGACGGAAAAACACGUAUAGCUAGCUAGUAUUUAUUCAUAUACAUAUUAUUCUCCUAAUCAUUCAUAAAUGAAUAUAUAAUUACCGAAAUUCUCAAUUUCGGUUAUUCUUCAACAAAAGAAAUUAUUCAUAUACAUAUCCACCGAAAAUCUCAUUUUCGGUAACUCUCCAAAAAUAAUGAAAAUUGCCAAUUAUAAAUGAAGCAAUAAAUAUAUGACUCCACCGAAAAUCUCAUUUUUGGUAACUUUCCAAAUAGCGAAGUUAACAAAUAAAAUAAGACCAUUUACUUCUAAAAAUAACUUCGCGAAAAUAAACAAUUCCACAAAUUGAUAUUCAAUAAAAUCAUUCAUUUAAUAUGAAAUCACCGCAUGCAACUCACAACUUUAGGCAUAAACCCGACUAUAUCCAAUUCACCACUCAAGUGAAGUCUCCUCAAAUCCUGGCACAAAAACCAUGCUUAGGACCACACUUCAAUUUCAGAAUAAAUAAUACUUAAAUAUAAAACUCAAAACUCUUUCGCCUAACCCACUACCCUUUCUAAGGUUAAGCUUAUCGGAUUCAUGCCAAAAUCCAACCACAGCCUUAUUUCCUUUAUUUCAACAUUCUAAAACAAUAAUAAGGAAAAUCCAACGGUCGGAUUCUACCCCAUUAACCGCCAAAUUCACCAGUCUUUCAAAAAUCUCAAACCUAUCCAAAACUCCUCUAAAAAUUCCACACUUCACAUCAUCAAACUCCCCUCAAUAUUAUACAUUUAAAACCAUGAAAAAUCCCUCUAACAGCGGCGGCCGGCGGCCGACUCCGGCAACCCCAAUGCCUACCAAAAUUUAACAACAUCUUCCUCUCAACCCCCUCUACAACUUUCCUAACUAGCACAAACACAAAUUCCAAGUCUAGAUAGGGUAAUCGAACAAAAUCAUCAAAUGAGCCCUGAAAUUUCCAACACCAAAAUCUCCUUACCUAGACCAAGGGGGAGGGAAGCCUUUGGAGGGAUUCAUGCAAGGGAGGAGAGCUUCCAAACAAGCCAAGCAUCGCCGGCUAUGAUGGCCAGAGGAUAGAGUUCCGACGAAUGGAGCAACCGGCUGCUAGGGGAGUUUCCUCCCUGUUAGGCGGCGUAACCGGCCCGGUCACCAGCCCAGGCGAGGAGAGGCGGCGGCGGCAGUCCAAACGGGACCGGUGCGGCGGCCUGGCUUGGCCGGACGGUGUCGGUUGGAGCCGGAGCAAAUCCGGUAGAGUGAGGGAGAGAGAUAGAGCGUCGGGAGAGAAGAGAGAAGGAAGAGAGAGAAAUGGUUUGGGCUUCCAAACCGGUCAACCCACUUAAAACCCAACUCCAACAAUUUAACACCCAAAAGAAAAAUACUCUAUUAAAAAUUACCUUUUACUAGCUAAAAUUUACCAUUUUUACCGUCGUCACCAUUUCCUCCUACGAGUAAUUCAUCCGAAAUAAUCGUCCCUCAAAAUCCCUCUAGGGACCAAAUAAACUAUAAUCUCAUUGACGAAGACGGUAAAAUUCUUAUUAAUACCAAGCUAGUAAAUAAGGUAAAAAUUUAAGAGUCGGGAUGUGACAAUCCAGUUGUCAACCACAACACUGGUCAAUAAACUCAUGAGUCAACUAUUAUGAAAACGACACCGUCUUCACAACCUUCCACCACCGACCCCGAAGCCUUUGUCAUCCAUAUCAACAGCCAAAUGGGACUAUGGGUUCAUGGCCAAACAUUCAUUAUUCCAACCUCAAGUCUCCUCUGAAAACCCAUGUGUACAACCGCAAUGGACGGACCACUAUCACCAAAGUUCAUAACCGAUCGAUAACCAAGAAAAACAACACCACCUCCGGAGUUUCGAACGUUCAUAACCCAAUGGACAGAGACAAGGGCACAAAGCUUCUCAAUGUAGACAUUAUAGUGAUAUGUAGGAUAGACAACCUAUAUAUGAAACUAUGAAUCACUUAUUUCAAGUCAGCCUGAACAUAGCAUAGUUUGUAGGCUAAAAAGUAAAUGAAAAUAAAUAUCUCUUCUCCUUACCAUGUACGUCGCCAUGAUCCCAAAUAGGAAACUUAGGGAAAACAACGUUCACAACAUUGGUCCAUGCUUGAACCCGCGACCAAGCACCAGUUUCCUUAGACACCCUUGGCCUUAUUUUAAUUAGGCCCUCGUAAAUAGACGUGUCGGGCUGGUUAACGUGUCUAACACUCCCGACACGCCGACACCUGCCCGACACGGCAAAAAAUGUGUCCAACACGCCACAUGACGUGUCCUAAAAAGUUGACUUUUCUGACACGUUUUGGACACGUUAACCAGCCCGACACGUCUAUUUAUGACACAUCAUGUUAGCUUUUCUCACUUACAAAAAAUAAAAAUAAAUAAAUAAAUAAAUGAGCGCAUUAGAGAUCUGUCACACAGUCACAUAUAAACAAAGAGAGGAAAGUCAUAAAACGUCGCAGACGAAGUAAUUAAUCGAUGAAUUCCUUAUUUCCUGCAUAAUUAUAUGAAAUUUUGUGUAUAAUUAUAUUUUAGUAUCUUUUUUAUUUAUUAAAAAUACAUAAAUAUAUAAUUUUGUUUGCCAUGUCGGAAACUCAGUUUUUAAGUUUUACCGUGUUGCCGUGUCGUGUGGCCUUGUCUAUGUCCGUGUCCGUGCAACUUAGUUCUAAUCUCAACAAAAAAUAGCACAUUCUGUUAUGUCUUCCGUUAUCUUGUGUGUUUUCCGUUAAAAUUUGAGAGACAAAUCUGCACUCAUUAAUUUAGCAGUAAUAAAUUAAUUAAACUAAUAAUUACUAAAGAGAG
This 35726-nucleotide long non-coding RNA is filed under the name Fragaria vesca (wild strawberry). RNAcentral describes it as "long non-coding RNA (FVES_LNC001722)". Lineage: Eukaryota; Viridiplantae; Streptophyta; Magnoliopsida; Rosales; Rosaceae. The record is from RNAcentral.